AUACGUAGGUGACAAGCGUUAUCCGGAUUUACUGGGCGUAAAGGGCGUGUAGGCGGUCUUGCAAGUCAGAAGUGAAAUUCCUGAGCUCAACUCGGGCGCUGCUUCUGAAACUGCAGGACUUGAGUGCUGGAGGGGAUAGCGGAAUUCCUAGUGGAGCGGUAAAAUGCGCAGAUAUUAGGAAGAACACCGGUGGCGAAGUCGGCUAUCUGGACAGUAACGGACGCUGAGGCGCGAAAGCGUGGGGAGCAAACAGGAUUAGAUCCCCUGGUAUUCCACGCCGUAAACGAUGAAUACUAGGUGUAGGGGGUAUCGACUCCCUCUGUGCCGCAGUUAACACAAUAAGUAUUCCGCCUGGGGAGUACGGCCGCAAGGUUGAAACUCAAAGGAAUUGACGGGG
Molecule: ribosomal RNA, 397 nt
Filed under: uncultured bacterium
Lineage: Bacteria
Description: partial 16S ribosomal RNA
Rfam family: Bacterial small subunit ribosomal RNA
Source: RNAcentral